UUUAAGUGGUAACUUUUAAUAGGGGGUACAUUUAGUCAUAAUGAGGUGGGAAGAAAGGUCAAGGAUAUCAUUUUCUGAAUUCUAAGAUCUUAUUAAGUUGCAAAGUAUAUAAAUGCAGAACUGUUUGUACUUAACUUUUUGAAUGCUUCUUUUCUUCAAGCAUAUGGCACGCACUUGCAGAGAAGGCAAAUGUUCACCGAGUCAUUAUUUCAUGUAGUAUUCAACGUGCUUUCCAGUGUUCUGAUUUGACAGAAUUAAAGAAUUUUGACUGCUUUUCAGCAAACGAACGAAGAACGUAACCUGGGUUCUUUGUAUACUACUCUGUUCUAGUAAGAAUAGAAAGCUUAUCUUUUCCAUUUUCAUUCACAUAGCUUAAUUCUACUGCUAUUAAUGACAAUUUCUCCGCAGUUACCGUAUGUGACUAUCAGAAAUCUUAAACGCUUCCCAU
RNAcentral lists this long non-coding RNA (448 nucleotides) under Bos taurus (domestic cattle). Its description in RNAcentral is "long non-coding RNA NONBTAT020455". The record is from RNAcentral. Lineage: Eukaryota; Metazoa; Chordata; Mammalia; Artiodactyla; Bovidae.